CACGUAGGCACCAAGCGUUGUCCGGAUUUAUUGGGCGUAAAGAGCUCGUAGGCGGUUCGGUUAGUCGGGUGUGAAAACUUUGGGCUCAACCCAAAGCGUGCACUCGAUACUGCCGUGACUAGAGUUCGGUAGGGGAGUGGGGAAUUCCUAGUGUAGCGGUGAAAUGCGCAGAUAUUGGGAGGAACACCAGCGGCGAAGGCGGCACUCUGGGCUGGUAUUGACGCUGAGGAGCGAAAGCGUGGGUAGCGAACAGG
RNAcentral lists this ribosomal RNA (254 nucleotides) under uncultured bacterium. RNAcentral describes it as "partial 16S ribosomal RNA". It matches the Rfam family "Bacterial small subunit ribosomal RNA", at positions 524 to 776 of the family's 1533-position model. The record is from RNAcentral.